Molecule: RNA transcript, 2573 nt
Organism: Gossypium arboreum
Lineage: Eukaryota; Viridiplantae; Streptophyta; Magnoliopsida; Malvales; Malvaceae
Exons: 6
Source: RefSeq, a predicted model, not a curated record
UCCUAAAUUAAUUUAUUAAUAUAAUAACAAUAAAAAAUAUUGGAGAAGUUGUCGGAUGAGACAACCCACCAGUUGUUGCGUUGCGGCUCUCUCAAGUCUCAAAGUCUAAAAGACUGAUACACCAAAAAAAAUAUAACCCAAAAAAAAAAAAAAACUCACUACUGUUCUUAAACUAAAAGUAAAAACCGAAAAAGAGAAGGAAAAAAAAAAAAACCCAGUAAACAGCUAAAAACUUAGAGGUAGAGAGAGAGGGGAAAAAAAAAAGAGUGGGAUUAUUGUUUUGUUUUUGUUUGGUUAUGUAUGAUUAUUAUUUUCCUCGUAUAAUGUCUCUAAAUCUCCUGGUUUCCUCCACUUCUUCACUUCCAGGGGGGUUUUGAGUUACUUUUCGGCGUACUACUAGAAACCUUUCUUGUUAAGUAUCUUCUGCAUCAUACAUAGGAAGCUAGAUGGGUUCCAGAUUCCCAUCUCAUCAGCUCAGCAAUGGGCUUUACGUGUCAGGCAGGCCAGAGCAGCCUAAAGAAAGGACUCCGACCAUGAGCUCAGUGGCCAUGCCCUAUACUGGUGGAGAUAUUAAGAAAUCAGGAGAACUAGGGAAAAUGUUUGAUAUCCCUACAGAUGGUUCUAAAUCCAGGAAAUCUGGACCUAUAAGUGGUGCUCCUUCAAGGACUGGAUCUUUCGGGGGUGCUGCUUCACAUUCUGGACCAAUCAUGCCUAAUGCAGCACCUCGGGCUGGCUACACCACAUCAGGUCCUGGUGGCGCUGGAGGCAUGUCUGGUUCAGUCUCAUUGAAGAAGUCAAACUCUGGACCACUAAAUAGACAUGGGGAUCCUGCGAAGAAAUCAUCCGGUCCACAAUCUGGUGGAGUGACACCAAGCGGACGUCAAAAUUCUGGUCCAAUUCCUGUUCUCCCUGCAACUGGCCUUAUUACAUCUGGGCCCAUCUCCUCUGGGCCACUAAAUUCCUCCGGUGCUCCUCGGAAAGUGUCUGGUCCUCUGGAAUCUAUGGGAUCAAUGAAAGUCAAAGGUUCUGCUGUUGUUCAUAAUCAGGCUGUGAAUAUUCUUGGCCAAAACGACGACUUUUCUUUCAAGAGGAACUUCCCCAAGCUAAUAUUAUAUGCACUGAUACUGCUCUUUGUAAUGGGUUUCAUUGCUGGUGGUUUUAUUCUUGGAGCGGUUCACAAUGCCAUUCUCCUCAUCGUUGUUGUGGUUCUUUUUGGUACUGUUGCUGCAUUAUUUGCUUGGAACUCUUGCUAUGGGAGAACAGCUAUUAUGGGUUUCAUUGCUGGUUAUCCAGAUGCAGAGCUUAGAAAUGCAAAAAAUGGGCAAUUCGUGAAAAUCUCUGGGGUGGUAACAUGUGGGAACGUGCCUCUUGAGUCAUCCUUCCAGAAAGUUCCAAGAUGUGUUUAUACAUCAACUAGUUUAUAUGAGUAUCGAGGAUGGGAUUCCAAAGCUGCCAAUCCUAAACAUCGUCGUUUUACCUGGGGACUCCGAUUGUUGGAAAGGCGUGCUGUUGACUUCUACAUCUCCGAUUUCCAGUCUGGGUUGAGAGCAUUAGUAAAAACAGGCAAUGGAGCAGUUGUGACUCCUUAUGUGGACGACUCAAUUGUUAUAGAUGUCAACCCAGCCAACGAAACAUUAUCUCCAGAGUUCAUCAGGUGGUUGGGAGAAAGGAAUCUUUCAAGUGAUGACCGAUUAAUGCGACUGAAAGAAGGGUAUAUCAAGGAAGGAAGCACGGUUAGUGUAAUGGGAGUUGUUCAGAGAAACGACAAUGUCCUUAUGAUUGUUCCUCCGCCUGAACCCAUUGCAACCGGUUGCCAAUGGCCCAAAUGUAUCUUCCCAGCUAGCCUCGAGGGUAUUGUAUUGAGAUGUGAAGACACGUCAAAUAAUGAUGCCAUACCUGUUUAGUAGCAUGUGCAUUGUAAACUUUUUUUUUUUUUCAGCUACAACACUAUAUUUUUUCCCUUGUUAUUCUAUUAAUAUUUUGGGGAUGUGGCGAGGACAAACGAUGAACACGAGAGAGGCAGGCAGCUUCUCUUACCUUUUAAUUCGGUGUAUAGCUUUUUCCAGGUUUCUUUGCAGUUAGUUUUAUGGUGUAGGGUUCAAAUGGUGUUGUCGUGGGGGUUGAUCGGCUUUCGUGCACUUGGGGAUUUUGUGUUUGUCAAGGUUUCAGGGAAAAGAAAAGAAAAACAUUAACAAGGCUCAGUUUGAUCCAUUGAUGGCUUUGGAUUGAAUUUCUUAUCGGUAAUUUGUGUAAAAUAUCAGUGUUUCCUUUUUACCACUUGGAAUUGGGAUGUUCUUUUGAUUGCGUUGCAUUGGUCUGGUUUCAUCAUCAUCAUCAUCAUCAUCAUCAUUAUCACUACUACUUUGGAAGGAGGAGGAAUGUCUUUAUCAAUCAACAUUCGAGCUGUGCAGUUGGUGGGUUCAAUAAGUUUAAAAGAAUAAAAAAUCGAUUUAAUCAAUCUUCCAAAAACUGAGCUGAAUCCUUCAUGGAUUGAUGCUAUAUAUUUCCUUUGGAGAAAAACAGUUUAAUUAUAUAUUUAUAUUAAGUCAACUAAUGUAGUGGAUAAAAUUAAA